GGGUUGUAGGUCGACUCUCAGACUCUCCCCUUCUCCCCCUGUGGCGCUGUCCCCAUUUUGCUUCAACCUUCUAGCCUUCCAGAGUUCUAGGUUUGAUUAGCGAGUCCCGGCAGUCCGCCGAGCCACCUCCUCCGCCACCGAGCCCCCUCCAUAGCUCCACUGCGAGUCUGUGAUAGUCGCACUGCGACUCCUUCAAGGCUUCAAUCUCAGAUCCCAGGUAUUGGAUUUGUGGUUGAUUGAUUGUCAUUGCUGAUGGGUUGUUGAUGAUGGUGGGAAAGGGUUGUUGUCUUGUUGAAUGUUUGAUAAUUGAUUGUCAUUGUCGAUGGGUAAUGGGUUGUUGAUGUUGGGUUGAUAAUUGGGAAUGGCCGAAUGGGUUGUCCAGCUACAAUGAUGUUUGGUAAUGGUUUGGAAUGGGUUGUUGACUUGUUGAUGAUGCUUGAUAUUUGAUAAUUGAUUGUCAAUUUGUCAUUGCUGAUGCCUGAUGAUGUUUGAUAAUUGGGAAUGGCCGAAUGGGCUGAUUAGAAUUUUUUUUUCUUUCAAAAAAAUGGUGUUUUACAACACCAAGUCACCAACUAGUUUUGAAUUUGGGCUUGUUUAGUUGUCAAUCUCAGUUCAAAAUAUUCUUGGGUCUACUCAGGUGCUCUGUGCAAUACUGGGUUCCAAACCUAAAAAAAAUAAAAAUAAAAAAAAAUAGAGUUCUUGGCAAAAUUUUUAUAUGUAUAAAAUUAGCCCAACCCUUCUGUCAUUCCUGGCUAUGUCCCUGUUGAGGAGCCAAUCAGAAGCAGCGACUCUUCCAUAAGCAGCAACGAAGGCAACUAGUGCACCACCACCCAUGCCUUUAGCAAAUGCAACGACACCUUCUCCACCAUCCAAGACUGUCAUACUUCACCAAAAGCAACAUGUAGCCAUUGUAGUGCCACGGGCCUCCAUGCAAAACACGUUACCCAUCCUCUUUCAGUCAGAAUAGGAAUUGAAAACGAUCACCCUCCAAACUUGUAAUCGAUAGCUGAUCCCUCAAAUCCCAGACUGCCAACAAAGUUCCAGAAGUAGAAAGCCGAGAAGAAGAGAACUGAGAUUGGAAAUAAGAAGACCAAAGGUAAGAAAGAAAAAUUUUCUGGAUGCAAAUGAGGCUACAGAUUCUGAUCCUAAGCGAAAUGAACUCUUCCCAUUAAAUUCUUCUAUGUACUGUUGGAGAAAGUAAGAAUCUUGAUCUGUAGGUUAUGGCAAAUUAAGAAAACUUAUCGCUUCAAGGCACAUUGUAACAACAAAUAACCCUUGUGGAUACAAUGAAGCCUAGCAAUCUUGCUAUUGUUGAUCGGCAUCUUGCAUUUACGAAGAUCAACCCAACACUCGAUCAAAGGUUUUCAAGAGGCUCAAGGUUGCUAGAAACUAUAUCUGCAGUUUUAUAAUUUCUAGAUUUUAUCUGUGUAAGAGAGAGGAAGAUUGAUUGAAUGAUUUGAAAGAAACAAGUAGUGAAUAGAGAAAAUAAGGUUGCUUGAUAUGUUAAUUUGCAGAGAACUAUCCCCUAUAUACACAGGAGUAGUCAUGCCUUUUGAAAUGAUAUCAUAUCUCUUCACCAAGAAUUAUGUAUAAUUGCCAACAGUCAUAUUUUCAAUUUGAAUUGAGUUCAAAAUCAGCAUAUACA
RNAcentral lists this long non-coding RNA (1645 nucleotides) under Rosa chinensis. RNAcentral describes it as "sRNA RchiOBHm_Chr3g0474761". The record is from RNAcentral. Lineage: Eukaryota; Viridiplantae; Streptophyta; Magnoliopsida; Rosales; Rosaceae.